RNAcentral lists this ribosomal RNA (254 nucleotides) under uncultured bacterium. RNAcentral's name for it is "partial 16S ribosomal RNA". It matches the Rfam family "Bacterial small subunit ribosomal RNA", at positions 524 to 776 of the family's 1533-position model. The record is from RNAcentral.
UACGUAGGGUGCGAGCGUUAAUCGGAAUUACUGGGCGUAAAGGGCGCGUAGGCGGUCAGCACAAGUCAGUUGUGAAAUCUCCGGGCUUAACCCGGAAAGGUCAACUGAUACUGUGCGACUAGAGUGCGGAAGGGGCAACUGGAAUUCUCGGUGUAGCGGUGAAAUGCGUAGAUAUCGAGAGGAACACCUGCGGCGAAGGCGGGUUGCUGGGCCGACACUGACGCUGAUGCGCGAAAGCCAGGGGAGCGAACGGG